RNAcentral lists this ribosomal RNA (116 nucleotides) under archaeon. The record is from RNAcentral.
AUGAACGGCCAUAGUGGCUUGGUCCGAUCCGAUCCCAUUCGAACUCGGAAAUCAAACAGGCCGACGUUUUGUGCAUUACUGUUGUUUUCAACGGGAAACACAUUUCGCUGUUCAUC